This 365-nucleotide ribosomal RNA is filed under the name Lethrinus microdon (smalltooth emperor). Its description in RNAcentral is "partial small subunit ribosomal RNA". The stretch from base 59 to 365 matches the Rfam family "Bacterial small subunit ribosomal RNA", at positions 874 to 1342 of the family's 1533-position model. Lineage: Eukaryota; Metazoa; Chordata; Actinopteri; Spariformes; Lethrinidae. The record is from RNAcentral.
AGAUACCCCACUAUGCUUGACUCCUAACUUGAAGUACUUUACACACACUGUUCGCCUGUGCGCACUACAGAGCACAAGCUUAAAACCCAAAGGACUUGGCGGUGCUUUAGACCCCCCUAGAGGAGCCUGUUCUAGAACCGAUAACCCCCGUUCAACCUCACCCUUUCUUGUCCACCCCGCCUAUAUACCACCGUCGUCAGCUUACCCUCCUGAGGGUCCAACAGUAAGCACAAUUGGCACAGCCCAAAACGUCAGGUCGAGGUGUAGCGUAUGAGAGGGGAAGAAAUGGGCUACAUUCACCCUUUAACGGUGUACCACGAAAGAUGCAGUUGAAACAUUCAUCAGAAGGAGGAUUUAGCAGUAAG